This is a long non-coding RNA of Dunckerocampus dactyliophorus (ringed pipefish), 441 nucleotides long. RefSeq lists it as uncharacterized. The record is from RefSeq and is a predicted model, not a curated record. NCBI's taxonomy places the organism in Eukaryota, Metazoa, Chordata, Actinopteri, Syngnathiformes, Syngnathidae. The transcript has 3 exons.
CGUCUCUCGAUCAUCCCUCUCAGGAAGAUGAAGCUGUACAUCAUUUCCUCCUUUGCUCUGCUCCUCCUGCUUGUGUGCAUCGCCCACAAGGUCUAUUUAACGGCCAACGCCACCCCCACCACAAAUACCAGUUCCGGGAUUGGCGCUGCCCUGCUGCUGCCACUGGCCCUUACUCUGAUCCCUCUGCUCCUCACUUGGUGAAGAUGUAAAGACGGAUGGAUCCCGGCACGAUGACUUGAACCCAUAACUUGGUUCCACUUGAUGUGAUUGUCUGCUUUUCACAUCUAGCCAGAUGUUGUACCAUUAGGACCAUUUGAUCUUUCUGAGGUUAGCCACAUUUCAGCUGUCAAAUUGAAGCUUGAGUGCUGCUGUUGAAUGUGUCAGUACUUGUUGUCAACUUGCUGUUCCCUAACAAAAAAGCCUGAACCAAUAAAUAUUUGA